RNAcentral lists this ribosomal RNA (379 nucleotides) under uncultured bacterium. RNAcentral's name for it is "bacterial SSU rRNA". It matches the Rfam family "Bacterial small subunit ribosomal RNA", at positions 29 to 409 of the family's 1533-position model. The record is from RNAcentral.
AUUGAACGCUGGCGGCAUGCCUUACACAUGCAAGUCGAACGGCAGCGCGGGAGCAAUCCUGGCGGCGAGUGGCGAACGGGUGAGUAAUAUAUCGGAACGUGCCCAGUAGUGGGGGAUAGCCCGGCGAAAGCCGGAUUAAUACCGCAUGAGACCUGAGGGUGAAAGCGGGGGAUCGCAAGACCUCGCGCUAUUGGAGCGGCCGAUAUCAGAUUAGCUAGUUGGUGGGGUAAAGGCCUACCAAGGCAACGAUCUGUAGUUGGUCUGAGAGGACGACCAGCCACACUGGGACUGAGACACGGCCCAGACUCCUACGGGAGGCAGCAGUGGGGAAUUUUGGACAAUGGGCGAAAGCCUGAUCCAGCCAUGCCGCGUGCGGGAA